This 67-nucleotide small RNA is filed under the name Escherichia coli. Its description in RNAcentral is "partial RtT sRNA". It matches the Rfam family "RtT RNA", at positions 58 to 130 of the family's 130-position model. From Rfam's summary of the family: This family represents a bacterial cis-regulatory element known as RtT RNA. The exact function of RtT is unknown although it is thought that it may be involved in changing the cellular response in relation to amino acid starvation. Lineage: Bacteria; Pseudomonadati; Pseudomonadota; Gammaproteobacteria; Enterobacterales; Enterobacteriaceae. The record is from RNAcentral.
UAGGAUAACGUUGCGUCAGCAACGGCCCGUAGGGCGAGCGAAGCGAGUCAUCCUGCACGACCCACCA